This 427-nucleotide ribosomal RNA is filed under the name uncultured bacterium. RNAcentral describes it as "bacterial SSU rRNA". It matches the Rfam family "Bacterial small subunit ribosomal RNA", at positions 354 to 796 of the family's 1533-position model. The record is from RNAcentral.
GUGAGGAAUCUUCCACAAUGGGCGAAAGCCUGAUGGAGCAACGCCGCGUGAAGGAUGAAGGCCCUAGGGUCGUAAACUUCUUUUAUAAGUGAAGAAUAUGACGGUAACUUAUGAAUAAGCACCGGCUAACUACGUGCCAGCAGCCGCGGUCAUACGUAGGGUGCAAGCAUUAUCCGGAGUGACUGGGCGUAAAGAGUUGCGUAGGUGGUUUGUUAAGUAGGUAGUGAAAUCUGGCGGCUCAACCGUACAGGCUAUUACCUAAACUGGCAAACUCGAGAAUGGUAGAGGUAACUGGAAUUUCUUGUGUAGGAGUGAAAUCCGUAGAUAUAAGAAGGAACACCGAUGGCGUAGGCAGGUUACUGGACCAUUUCUGACACUGAGGCACGAAAGCGUGGGGAGCGAACGGGAUUAGAUACCCUAGUAGUCC